Long non-coding RNA from Candoia aspera, 325 nucleotides. RefSeq lists it as uncharacterized. Lineage: Eukaryota; Metazoa; Chordata; Lepidosauria; Squamata; Candoiidae. The record is from RefSeq and is a predicted model, not a curated record. The transcript is spliced from 3 exons.
GAUAAGGAGAGGAAGUUCGAGUUGUGCAGGUUCUCCCUUUUGUACACAACUCUGUUUCAGAGCUGAACCUCGGGAAGAGAUUCGGGGGCUCAGCCCGUAGCCCGUGCCUUGGGAACUAAAAGCUCAGUCAGUACAGACUAGAAGGACACUUCCUUAUAUCUGGGACAGGCUUAGGAGGAAGGCAAAAUGAAAUCCAAGUUGACAAGACAACAGGAAAGAAGAGGCAGAGCCCUUGCAGAGAACCUAAGGUGACUGCCAGAGAUGGAACUGAAGAAGGAAUUUUAAUUCAAAGGACUACAUAAUAAACUCUCUUGCUAAACUAACA